GAAUGGUUUGGGUUGGAAGGGACCUUAAGGAUCACCUAGUUUGGGUUGGAAGGAACCUUAAGGACCACAUAGUUCCAACCCUCUGCCAUGGGCAGGGACACCUUGCACUGGACCAGAUUGCUCCAAGCCCAGUCCAGCCUGUCCUUGAACACUGCCAGGAAUGGGGAAUCCACAGCUUCAUUGGGCAGCCUGUGCCAGGGCCUGACCACCCUCACAACAAAGAAUUUCUUCCCAGUGCCUAAUCUAAAUAUCUUCUCUUUUAGUUUAAAACCAUUCCCCCUUGUCCUGGCACCACCUGCCUGUGUAAAAAGUCCCUCACCCACUGUUUUAUAAGCUCCCUUCAAGUACUGGAAGGCUGCAAUGAGUUCUUCCUGAAGCUGUUUUCAAGACUCAACAACCCCAUCUCUCUUGCCUGUCUCCACAGGAGAGCUGCUCCAUCCCUCUGAUCACAUUUGUGGCCCCUUUGGACCCUCUUCAGCAGGUCCAAGACUUUCUGAUGUUGCAGGGCCCAGACUGGAUGCUGUGCUCCGGGUGGGGCCUCACAAGGGCACAGCAGAGCUGGGGAAUCCCCUCCCUUGGCCCUCUGAUCACACUGCUUUGGACACAGCCCAGGAUUUGGCUGUUCUUCUGUGCUCUGUGCAUGUCCAGCCUUUCAUCCACUAGAGACCCCAAGUCCUUCUCCACAGGGCUGCUCUCAGUGACAUCUUCUCCCAGUCCAUACCCACGUCUGGGAUUGCCCAGUGACCAGCACCUGCCACUUGGACUUCCUGAAGUUUGUGAGUUUCCCAUGGGCCUGCUUCUCCAGUUCCCUCUGGGUGAUCUCCCAUCCUUCAGGAGUGUCACCUGCCCCACUCAGCUUGGUGUCACCUGUAAAUUUGCUGAGGGCAUCCUCAGUCCCACAGUCUGUGGGAGAUGGAGAUUGAUGCUACUGAUGGAAAUAAUAAAGAGUGCCAGUGCCAAGACAGAGCUCUGAGAGACAGUGCUUGUCACUGGCCUCCACCUGGACACAGAGCCAUUGACUGCAGCUCUCUGGCUGCAGCAAUCCAGCCAGUUCCCUAUCCCAAACAGUCCACCUUUCAAAUCCGUGUGUCUCCCACCUGGGCAUAAGGAUGUCAUGUGUUGGAGGCCUAUUGUGAUAACAUAGGGCUAACACACACACACACACACACACACAGAGUGGCCGCCAAGCUGUAACAGAUGGCAUCAGGGGCACUGCUUUCCUGGCUCCAGAGCAGUGCUGUUUUGCAGGAUUUGGGUUCUUUAAAUGAUCUUUAAGCAUCCAGAGUGACGGCAUCUACUGGGUCUCUGGAGGGGCACAGCCAGGCUGAAUGCAACAGAAUCCCACAGUGCUCCACACAAGUACUUGGCACCACGUGCUGCCUCCAAGUUAGUGGGUGCCUGGGUUGAUUCCUUAGCCAGAAUAUUUGUCUCAGCAGCCUUCAAGAAAUAGAGGACUCCAAGCCAACUCCUACAACAAUUAAAGUCUCCAGCACUAUGCCCGGUAGAAUCCACACUGAAACUUCUGCCAAGACUCAUCCAAGUGCUGGCCUAGGAAAGCAAGAGAGAAAUUCCCUUAGACAGUUUGCAAAAGCUCGGUUUUAGUUCAUGAGUGCUGCAGAUUUAUCAGAAGAGAUGGGAAGUGUUGAGCAUACCUUGACUGGCUGUCUCCAUGCUGAGUUCCAUCACAUGCUGAGUUUAAACUGGGUUGGCCACAAGCCUUUUGGAUGCGAGCACGGAAACCACUCCAUGACAGUGUAAGCCCAACCAGGGCUUUGGGUUCUUUCUUCUCUGUCCCCAGAAGCAAUGAUUGGAUAGAGAGGUUGAAGGACCAAGAGAUCCCCUUCAGCUCCUUUUCCUUGAGGCUGUCUUAUAUACCCCUGAGGGAACAGACCCUAGAUUAAAUCUUUUUCAUGUCCUAGCACAUGGCAACUCAGAAACCAGUAGGGUUUCCAGGCAACUGCUGCAUUCUCUUGAGAAAGAGCAUCUCCAGCCUGCUUUGCCCCUAGAAAUACUUCACUCAAACCAUGCAUGAAUGGCAGAGAUGUAUCUGGAUGUUCAUAGAAUAAAUGACACAAACUUCUGUCAUAGCUUAAAGUUUGUUUUCAUUAUGGUGGGGUGAAAUGAAGAGCUUUAUUUACCUGCAAAAGCAGAUAUCUAUUAUCUAUCCAUAUAUAUAUAUAGAUCCUUCCCCUGAGUGGUGGAAAAAGUCACUUUGCUCCAUAACUCCGUGGUAAGCAUUGUGUCCCUCUGAAAACCAUGCCCAGACUAAGUCAAUUAGAGCCAAGUAUUUCCCUUCUAUGCAAAUCAGGCUCUAAUGAAGCCAAGAACAGCUCAGUGCAGUGUUUCCAAAGACUGAGACCAAGGAUGCCUGUUGGCACUUGCCCUCUGUGUGAUCUCAGAGCUAUGAGGAUGCCAUGGGAGCCACGUGGAGUGAGACAGCAGGGUGCAGGCAGGGGAGAUGGGGUUAGGGCAGGCAGAGAACCCCAGUGGGUGAGCACACAGCCUGGUCUCCAGCUGCCAACUGCAACACCUUUGCAAGAAGCUCUCUGAAUCCUGAGCUGGUCCCAUUUUGUGGGCACAAGGUCUUUGAAAUAUCUCAGGCACCAUCUGCCAAGGCACAGCAGACAUAUUUUACAACCAGAUGCAAAUACACCAAAAAUACACCACUACACACAGACACAGAUUUCCUGGAGGGUGGUGGGGAAAGGAGCCCUAGCUCCCCCCACAUUUGCAUUGCUUGAUGUGGUACCUGUGUGCCACCACUGCACCCACACAUCCUUUGCCAAUUCGCCCAGCCCUGACUGCACACACGUGAUGGCUUUUGCAGAAGGAGGUCAGAGGGUUCAUUUGGGGAUAUCCGAACUAUUUCAAACACAUUUCUAACUUAGUCCCAUUCCUUUAUGCUACAGUGGCAUGGGAAAUGCUGCCCCUUUCCCCAUGCAGCACAGCAGAUGCAGAGUCAGGAGUUUGAACACAGCUUCAAGCCAUUGCUGUAGAUGCAUCAGCUUUCCUGGCUUCCCUCGAGUCUCUACCUCGUCGUGCCUCACACAGCCCCCACUCACAGCAGAAGGCUGGAUAAACAUCUCAGACAGUCUGGAAAGGCUGGGGGUUUUUGCUCUACAGCAUUCAGUUGCAGCCCUGUUGGUGCAGGCAGGAGUGCUACCAGUGGUUUCAGCAGCAAAUGGAGAGGGGUGAGGACACCACAUAAACACACAGGAUUAAAUCUUCCCUCCAUGCAACACAGUGCCAGCCCCUGUGGGGAUGACCUGACUUGCAUCUGCUGAAAAUCUAAGCUGUGUUGCUAUGAUCAUUUGGGAUUUCUUUUCUCUCAAGAAAAUAACGUAAUCUCUCAAGAAAACAAAUCCAUCUGAAAAAUAGAAAAAAAAUCACUUUUUUUUUCACAUUAUUUGAAACUGGCACCUUUUUAUGAUAUUUCAUUGGUAUUUUGUGUUGAAAUUAUUGUUAUUUUUGGAAACCAUCAGAAAUACAGCUUUUGGUAGGAAAAUGUAAUAUCUGGCCAAUAAAAGAAUUAUUAUCAAGAUUUCAAGCAGCACACUGAAAAAUCACCUCUAAUUUAAAAAGAAGUAUUAAAAUAUAAUUAGUGAUAAUUUAGUUUCAUAUACUUUCAUUUUAAAAGAGCUUUUAAAAAUCCCCUUUUGUCUAUGAAGCAUCACAAACUUUAAUCUCAUCGUAAAACCAUGCAGGCUGAGGUUUGGGUGUUUUGCCAUCCUCAACCCAUGGCAAGCAGUAGAAAAGGGACUUCUUAACAGAAGGGUUUGUCUGGGACUUCUGGCUCAAUGGUCUCUGAUGGGCACAUCCUUUAUGGCUCUGUCUCAAAUAAAGCACUGACUCUUCUGUGGUUGAGUAAUCCUUAUUCUUUUACUGCAUCAGCUAUCAAUAGGAAAGUCCUCUGUGGAAGUGGAUGUUCAACCAAAAUGGCCAGGCCUGGGAUUUUAGGAUAUACAGUAAGCGGUACCUAUGGUCAGAGCAAGGGAAAUUCAAUAGCCACUUUGGUCCCUUUCAAAAUGUCACUCCUACUUUCAGCAUCCUCCUCCUGAGCUCUUCUCCCCUUGCACCCUCACUAAUGCUCAGUGGCAGUCAGUGCCAUUUCCUCGAGGACUUGGGGACACAAAACACUGGGCAGAGAUGCCUCUGGGAACUCAUGAAACAGGGGUAGUAAAUCCACAACCACCCCAGGAGAGAAGAGAAUCCUUCUUAAUUUAUGCCACCUUCUGACAGCAAGCUCAGAACCUCCAAGGGCUCAGGUCUGAACCUGCCCAAAGUCACCAGUCCUUGCCCUUGACUAAAAAAUCCCAGGCUGUGUUAGGGUGUGGGCUUGCCUCUCUGGUUUACUGCUGCUCAUGUAAAUCCCAGUUUUCUCCUCCUGCUUGUUACACAGAACCCAAAUGCACUUUCCCAGCAUAUUCCCUAAUGCAAAGUCCAACACUUUGCCAGGGUUUGCUCACUCUGGCCGUGCUUGAGCUCUCCCUUGUCACUGCUGGAAUAGUGACAGAUGAAAACCAGGGAGGGAAGAGUGAACCCUGCCAGGGACAGGGGACUGCCCUCCAUGGGUGGUGCCCUCAAUUCCUGGUGACCAUCAGCCUGUGGCAAGGGGGGAAUGUGGGUGUGCAGGGAACAAGGGACAGAACAGGGCUCGAGAGGGUGCUCUGGUGCCUGCACUCACUUCAGGGAAGCCUGGUGGUGCUAGAGGAUCUUCCACAUCCCCAGAUCAGCAGGCCAGAGAUGAAUUACUGGGGACAGCUGAGACAGGAGGCAAAUGGCAUCACACUGAAGCCGAACAAGGCCUGUGACUGUGCGCUGUGGGAUCCUAAAUAUUUGGAGAGCAAAGGUCAGGAGAACAGGACACUUCUCAGAGAUGAUUUUCUUCGCACCCCAGGCAGGGACAUGGAACU
Passer domesticus (house sparrow) is the source of this 4913-nucleotide long non-coding RNA. RefSeq lists it as uncharacterized. The transcript is spliced from 3 exons. The record is from RefSeq and is a predicted model, not a curated record. NCBI's taxonomy places the organism in Eukaryota, Metazoa, Chordata, Aves, Passeriformes, Passeridae.